Molecule: ribosomal RNA, 18 nt
Filed under: Scolecobasidium musae
Lineage: Eukaryota; Fungi; Ascomycota; Dothideomycetes; Venturiales; Sympoventuriaceae
Description: Ochroconis musae partial 28S ribosomal RNA
Source: RNAcentral
AACUUGUCAAGUUUGGCC